Molecule: ribosomal RNA, 433 nt
Filed under: uncultured bacterium
Lineage: Bacteria
Description: bacterial SSU rRNA
Rfam family: Bacterial small subunit ribosomal RNA
Source: RNAcentral
ACUCCUACGGGAGGCAGCAGUGGGGAAUAUUGCACAAUGGGGGAAACCCUGAUGCAGCCAUGCCGCGUGUGUGAAGAAGGCCUUCGGGUUGUAAAGCACUUUCAGUAGGGAGGAAGGUAGUGUAGUUAACACCUGCAUUAUUUGACGUUACCUACAGAAGAAGCACCGGCUAACUCCGUGCCAGCAGCCGCGGUAAUACGGAGGGUGCGAGCGUUAAUCGGAAUUACUGGGCGUAAAGCGCAUGCAGGCGGCCUGUUAAGUCAGAUGUGAAAGCCCGGGGCUUAACCUCGGAAUUGCAUUUGAAACUGGCAGGCUAGAGUCUUGUAGAGGGGGUAGAAUUUCAGGUGUAGCGGUGAAAUGCGUAAGAGAUCUGAAGGAUACCAGUGGCGAAGGCGGCCCCUGGACAAAGACUGACGCUCAGAUGCGAAAGCGU